GCCUACGGCCAUAGCACGUUGACCACACCGGUUCUCGUCCGAUCACCGAAGUUAAGCAACGUCGGGCCCGGUUAGUACUUGGAUGGGUGACCGCCUGGGAACACCGGGUGCUGUAGGCA
This 119-nucleotide ribosomal RNA is filed under the name Pomacea canaliculata. The record is from RNAcentral. Lineage: Eukaryota; Metazoa; Mollusca; Gastropoda; Architaenioglossa; Ampullariidae.